This 460-nucleotide ribosomal RNA is filed under the name uncultured bacterium. RNAcentral describes it as "partial 16S ribosomal RNA". It matches the Rfam family "Bacterial small subunit ribosomal RNA", at positions 338 to 795 of the family's 1533-position model. The record is from RNAcentral.
CCUACGGUAGGCAGCAGUGAGGAAUAUUGGUCAAUGGACGGAAGUCUGAACCAGCCAUGCCGCGUGCAGGAAGACGGCUCUAUGAGUUGUAAACUGCUUUUGUACAAGGGUAAACCUGAAUACGUGUAUUCAGCUGAAAGUACUGUACGAAUAAGGAUCGGCUAACUCCGUGCCAGCAGCCGCGGUAAUACGGAGGAUCCAAGCGUUAUCCGGAUUUAUUGGGUUUAAAGGGUGCGUAGGCGGAUUGAUAAGUUAGAGGUGAAAUGUCCGAGCUUAACUCGGGAACUGCCUCUAAUACUGUUAAUCUAGAGAGUAGGUGCGGUAAGCGGAAUGUAUGGUGUAGCGGUGAAAUGCUUAGAGAUCAGACAGAACACCGAUUGCGAAGGCAGCUUACCAAUCUAUAUCUGACGUUGAGGCACGAAAGCGUGGGGAGCAAACAGGAUUAGAUACCCUAGUAGUC